GAUGAACGCUGGCGGCGCGCCUAACACAUGCAAGUCGAACGGUUAAAGCACCUUUUAGGUGUGUAUAAAGUGGCGAACGGCUGAGUAACACGUGGGCAACCUGCCCUCCUCUUGGGGAUAGCCUCGGGAAACCGAGGAUAAUACCCGAUACUUCAAUGUGGCCGCAUGACGACAUUGAGAAAGCUUUUGCGGAGAAGGAUGGGCCCGCGGCCUGUUAGCUUGUUGGUGGGGUAGAGGCCUACCAAGGCAAUGAUGGGUAGCUGGGUUGAGAGACCGACCAGCCAGAUUGGGACUGAGACACGGCCCAGACGCCUACGGGAGGCAGCAGUGGGGAAUCUUGCACAAUGGGCGAAAGCCUGAUGCAGCGACGCCGCGUGCGGGACGAAGGCCUUCGGGUUGUAAACCGCUUUCAGCAGGGACGAGGCGAUAAGUGACGGUACCUGCAGAAGAAGCCCCGGCUAACUACGUG
Molecule: ribosomal RNA, 469 nt
Filed under: uncultured bacterium
Lineage: Bacteria
Description: partial 16S ribosomal RNA
Rfam family: Bacterial small subunit ribosomal RNA
Source: RNAcentral